AGGAGAGGUGCACUGGCAGACACAUGACACACACGCAGAUCAGAUCCAUAUUUCUGUGUUGCAGGGCUUAAGUUAAGGUUUUAAAACAAUUUGAUGUAUUUGAUUUACUAUAUUAUUGUAAUAUUAUUGAAGCUGCGGUCACAGCUCCUUUCAGCAUGGCCGGAGGAGAGGUGCACUGGCAGACACAUGACACACAUGCAGAUCAGAUCCAUAUUUCUGUGUUGCAGAUGUGCAGUAAAGAGCCAAAGACCCAGUACUGUCUCCUGCCUCUUACUUUACGCCAGAACACAACGCAGCAACAAUAGGCGUAACACCUGAACGGGUUACAUAAGGUUAUAUUUAUCCUUUGUUUUAGGGUAUGAUUGCUGCCUUCACCUCUCCGUGGCACAUCGCCCGACCUUAAUUGGAGAAUUGAGGCGCCUGCAUAGUCGCUGUUUGAGGGCUCCUCCUCGGUGGAGCUGCCGUCUUGUCCCGUCUUGUUUCCCGUUUCGUUUAUUGCCGGGUGAACUGUUUCAUUAUUUUGCUCCUGCUGUUUUUUGCCUUGCCUCGUUGGGGCUGUGGUUUUUAUUUUUGUUUAGGUGGGCUUACCUUUCUUGGUUUGCCUGGUUUUAUUUAGCCCAUUCUGGACUAUUGUCCGCACCCCUGCUUCUGUGGCUGGCUAGAGUGAUCUUCAAAUAUUGCCUCCGCUGGCUUCUUCCAGUUUGCGUGGAGCUACACCGGACUGAUCCAGGCUUGGACUGUUACAGCCACCAGAAGCAGUGGUUUGACUCGCGGGGUGCCAAUCUCUAGUUUGCGCUGUGUGUGUGUGCGUGUGUGAUUUCUUUUCUUAAAGCUAUUAAAGAUUGAAGUUUUAGUUUUUCAUGAUAUGUAGCGAGCUUGUCGCUCAGUGUACUUUUAUUCUUUUAACGUGUUGUUCUGUUUUAUGUCAGUGAAUGGAGGACGUGCCAGUGGCCCUGGGACCUCAGGUGGUGGGUCAUUUUCACACUUUGUACAGCACUGGGUGCCGGCUGUAGUGUUUUUCUUUUUGUGAGAUUUUCUUUUGGGUCCACGGCUGCAGGUUCCAUGUUUGUUUUAUUGUACCUUUAGGACACGGUCAACCACGACGCUACAUUCAGUGUUUUCUUAAUGUUUCAUUUUAUUAUCAGCAUAAAUAAAACUGUUAAUAUUGGAGCCAACCUGCCUCGGUGUGCAUCCUUGAAUCUGUGCGGCCUCUUUUAUUCGCUUGUAUCGGUUUUUCUUAAAUAUCCAUUUCCUGGGGGUGAAAUUCCCCUAGGUGGCGUUGUCGUUUUUAUUAGUUUUUAUCUAACCCCUCCGACCACUUGGUCACACAGGCUCAGGGAGGGCGGGGCAAGAUGGCGAAGGAAGGAAGACAGGAUAAAGACAUGCUGUGGAAGAGAGACAGAGGCUGUGUCCGAAUUCAGGGGAAGGAUGCUUAAAAUGCCAUAUUUGGAUGCAAUGACGUCACAGCGACGCGACGAAGGGUGUCCGAAUUCAAAGAGUACUCAAAAUGUGGCAACAAAUGCGUCCUACUUUUCCGCGAAUUUGAGGCUUAGCUGUGUCCGAAUUCAGAGGAAGGAUGCUUCAAUGCCAUAUUUGGAGGCAAUGACGUCACGGCGACGCGACGAAGGGUGUCCGAAUUCAAAGAGUACUCAAAAUGUGGCGACAAAUGCGUCCUACUUUUCCCCAAAUUUUAAGGAUGGUCCGAUGUAUCCUUCGUGUCCUACUAUAUCCCAGGAUUCAUUGCGGGUCAUAGAGGAGAUUUGUUUCUGAUAACGAUGGUGGUCGAAGCGGGAGAGGAAAACACUUUCAAAUGUAAGUAUAUGAAAAUCUGGUUGUACAAAAGUUAAAUUGUUAUAGCGGUCGUUUUGUUAAGCUUUGGGCAUCUGCAUAGACAUGUUUCUUUUAUUUAAAAUAACCGUAAACCAGCUUGUAUCGCGGGUCCCGCGGUUUUUCAUGUAUUGCCGCUUACAUACAGCUAAUUUAGAUUUUUUCAAAUUGGUGAUAUGUUGUGGGGAACAAAGACCAAACGGCUUAAUUUAUUAAAACGAGGAGGAAACGAUCACCUCUUCACUGGGUGAAGAAUUGGGCCGCUACGGCGUGGAAGUGCAAGAAUAAAUCAAUUUACACAUCAUAUUCAUAUGAGUACGGUCCUAUUAACCCUCAUGCUGUACAGCAGCGGUCCCCAACCUUUUUGCGCCGCAGACCGGUUUAUGUCAGACACGGAGCGGCCUUUAAGGUAUCGUGGAUAAAUACAACCACAUAAAAUGAUCCGACCAAGACAAAAACUGUGGUAUUUUGUAAAUAUAAUAAUAAACGUGAAUGUGCUGUGUAAUUGUGUAACUUUAUUAGCAGCGUCCUCCUGAAAAUGUGCCAAAUUGAGAGUAACAUCCUCCUCUCUGCCGCUUAAUACUCUCUGGUCGCUAUGGUAACGUGUAAAUAUUUCUUUCAAAAUAACACACAAAACUACAACAAGGGAAAGACUCAGGGAAACCGAGUUAACGAUAAAACCCCUGAAAACCAUAAAUUUCACAGCGGAGCCUCAACUCUCGUGGCCCGGUACCAAACGACUCACGGACCGCUGCUGUACAGAACCUGUGAUGUCCAGACGGUGUUCCUCUGGUGUUCUGCUGUGAAAACUUUGGGAUUUAGGGAUUAACAUAGUUGCCAUGGUUUCCUUUCUUCUCUUAUUUGUUGUGUGUGAUCAGGACAAUUCUGGAGAAGAUGGGCCUGCAGGGGAAAGUCACCCCCUGCAGGCCAGAAGACAUGAGAUAACUUUAAAGAAUACAAAGAUUGCAAGUAUCCAGGCUCAGGAGAGGGGGUCAGUGGGAAGCCCACUGCUGCUACUUGGCCCUGGUUUGCCCUCAUGGAUGAGGUGAUAGGACAGAUGCCUUCCAUUAAGCCUCUUUUCCUAAUGUCCUCUCUCCCUGAGGACACUCCAGGGCCAAGCACAGCAGUGGGUGACCAAAACGACAGCGAUGACGAAGCGGCUCAGCCACCUACGACAGGGAGAAAGAGGGAAAGAGAUGAUGAGCUGCUAGACCUCAUCAGAGAGGACACGAGGCAGCAAAGAGAGGCUGAGGAGAGGAGAGCAGGGAGAGGACGGACAGACUGUUUUCAAUUCUAGAAAGAUUAGUUCCAAAAUGAGUUAUGUAUUGAGAAAUUUAUUUAUUUGAAUAUAUUUGUUACAUUGUUAUAUGUGUUGCAUUAGU
Long non-coding RNA from Pelmatolapia mariae (spotted tilapia), 3209 nucleotides. RefSeq lists it as uncharacterized. The transcript is spliced from 3 exons. Lineage: Eukaryota; Metazoa; Chordata; Actinopteri; Cichliformes; Cichlidae. The record is from RefSeq and is a predicted model, not a curated record.